GAGCGGCGAACGGGUGAGUAACGCGUGGAUUAUCUGCCCUGAGGUGGGGGAUAACCCGGGGAAACUCGGGCUAAUACCGCAUAUGACCGUGAGGUCAAAGGGGGGUCGCGAGAUCUCUCGCCAUAGGAGGAGUCCGCGUCCGAUUAGCUAGUUGGUAGGGUAAUGGCCUACCAAGGCGACGAUCGGUAGCCGGCCUGAGAGGGUGAUCGGCCACACUGGAACUGAGACACGGUCCAGACUCCUACGGGAGGCAGCAGUGGGGAAUUUUGCGCAAUGGGCUAACGCCUGACGCAGCAACGCCGCGUGGAGGAUGAAGGUCCUUGGAUUGUAAACUCCUGUCAGCAGGGAAAAAGCAACCUAACCUCAUACGUUAGGAAGUUGAUUGUACCUGCAGAGGAAGCCCCGGCUAACUCUGUGCCAGCAGCCGCGGUAAUACAGAGGGGGCAAGCGUUAUUCGGAAUUAUUGGGCGUAAAGGGCGCGUAGGCGGCCUGACAAGUGGAUGGUGAAAUCCCUCGGCUUAACCGAGGAACUGCCAUCCAGACUGUUGGGCUUGAGACCGGGAGAGGUGAGUGGAAUUCCCAGUGUAGCGGUGAAAUGCGUAGAUAUUGGGAGGAACACCAGUGGCGAAGGCGGCUCACUGGACCGGUAC
This 650-nucleotide ribosomal RNA is filed under the name uncultured bacterium. Its description in RNAcentral is "bacterial SSU rRNA". It matches the Rfam family "Bacterial small subunit ribosomal RNA", at positions 93 to 740 of the family's 1533-position model. The record is from RNAcentral.